RNAcentral lists this unclassified non-coding RNA (369 nucleotides) under Hevea brasiliensis (rubber tree). The record is from RNAcentral. Lineage: Eukaryota; Viridiplantae; Streptophyta; Magnoliopsida; Malpighiales; Euphorbiaceae.
UGGGAACCCUGCAUUGUUCUUGAACACUAUCUUCUCCCCCGCAGCCACUGAGAAGCUGCUUGGUUCAAAAACCAACCCACCGUCUGAGCUUCCCAGCAGCACCUCGAUGGCCAUGGCGUUUCCGGCCAGGAUUGCACUGGCUGCGGUGGCAACGACCGCAGCCACACCGGCUUCUUUCAGCGAAGCCUUGAUGCUGAGCUUUGGGAGGAGUGGAGUGGCGGUUGACACCUUGGCAGUGGUGGUGGUCAUGGGUCUGCUAGCGGACUUUAGGCCGGUGAAUGAUGGGAUGGCAACAGCAGCAGAAGAGGUGAUGCCUGCCAUUGGGAAGGAUUUCAAUUCCUUUGCUUUCUUUUGGGAGGGAGUUAGAAG